This 235-nucleotide unclassified non-coding RNA is filed under the name plant metagenome. RNAcentral's name for it is "partial contains small subunit ribosomal RNA, internal transcribed spacer 1, and 5.8S ribosomal RNA". The stretch from base 1 to 54 matches the Rfam family "Eukaryotic small subunit ribosomal RNA", at positions 1778 to 1831 of the family's 1831-position model. The record is from RNAcentral.
GGAAGUAAAGGUCGUAACAAGGUUUCCGUAGGUGAACCUGCGGAAGGAUCAUUCAUAAUAAGUGUUUUAUGGCACUUUUCUAAAUCCAUAUCCACCUUGUGUGCAAUGUCAGGGUUGAUUUUUCUCUCGAGAGGAUCAACCCCAAACAUCAACUAUAUCUCAACUCUUUGUCUGAAAAAUAUUAUGAAUAAAACAAUUCAAAAUACAACUUUCAACAACGGAUCUCUUGGCUCUC